This is a long non-coding RNA of Rosa rugosa (rugosa rose), 1515 nucleotides long. RefSeq lists it as uncharacterized. The record is from RefSeq and is a predicted model, not a curated record. The transcript is spliced from 3 exons. Lineage: Eukaryota; Viridiplantae; Streptophyta; Magnoliopsida; Rosales; Rosaceae.
UUCAGAUUCUCUCUCUUUUUUGAUAUCUUUGGAGUUUCAAAGUUAGUUUGUAACAAAUAAUAUCAACUCUCUUUGGCAUUCUCCAUUUGUGUGGAUAUAGUAGUUGGACUAGUUUUCCAAGCCUGGUUCCAUGUAACUAAUAAAUGAAAAAUUGCAUUAUGGAAAGUGAUACUAAAUUUGUUUUCGAAGUUUGAUCUAGUGUGCUAGUCAUAUUUCACUAAUUCUUUCAAGGUAUUUCUAUUUUAUGAGUUUAUAGCAUAUUGUUAUCUGAAAUUAUUUUCUCAUUCAAAAGUAAAAAGUUCAGAUUUUGAUUGUGUCGAUCAAUCACCAACCAUAUAUUUUCGGUGUCUGAUUUAGAAUGAUAUUUACUUGAUCGAAGGCAUGAUUUAAGAAAAGUGAAAUCAAGGCUUUUCACAUGCAGCUUCCAAUUAGUUUUAUGUAAUUGCAAUUAUUUUCUUCUUUCAUUUGAUCAGUUUCUUAUUGAGUUACCACUACAUUAUAAUUAACCUGAGAAAUAUUAGCCCUUAUUUAUUGUUAUUGUAAAAUUCAUGCCUAAAUUUGUUCCUGCAGGUAUUGAGUAGAGUUUCCUCCGGUGGAACCAUACCCUGUUCCAAUAUGCAUAUAACUUAGCCAGCUCAUCAGUUGAAACUUUGCAUUUGCAUUUUCAUUGGCAGUAGUCUUAUGACUACUGAAAGGUUUAAAUAACAAGAAGUUGGGAUAUCUGAAGUAGUGUCUUCCAAAAGACGAAGCACAAGCUUGACUUUAUAAAGCACAUUGUGUGGGCUAUCUAUCCAAAGGUGAUAUUGGAGAAUGGCAGCCUAAUGGAGCAAUGAAAAUUAUAGACAGGAAAAAGAACAUAUUUAAACUGUCUCAAGGUGAAUAUGUUGCUGUGGAAAGCAUUGAAAGCAAAUACUUGCAAUUGCCCCCUUAUCACAUCGAUAUGGGUUUAUGGGAACACCUUCGAGUCAUUUCUUGUUGCUGUGGUUGAUCCUGACAGAAAGGCCUUGGAGGACUGAGCAUCAUUUGACUGAUGACUUCAAAUCAUUGUGUCAAAACCUGAAGGCAAGAAAAUACAUUCUGGAUGAGCUCAAUAGCACGGUUUAGACACAGCAAGUAUGUGGUCCAUCGCUGUUGGUAAAUUUAUGCUAUGUUGAUUAAUUAGUCAUCUGACUUAAAACACAUUUACAUUGCAGCCUCGAGGGUUUGAGUUGUUAAAAGCAGUUCAUUUGGAAGCUAACCUCUUUUGACAUAGAGAGGGAUCUCAUGACUCCAACUUUCAUUGGAUUCUUCAUUUGAAUGACAUGUUGAAUAUUUAUGUAUUUGAUAUGGAUGUGAAAUAGCUAAUUAUCAGUUUUUGGUUGUUGGAUUUAUUAAAACAACAUGAGGCUACUUUACAGAUGGUAAGAAACACAUCCAGUUUACAGUUUUGGUUAAGAAAUCUGUGUUUGUGGAGGACCACAGCAUUUGAAGCAUAUUUGAUACAAUGUGGAGCUUUAAUGCAUUUAUAGGCAUGUU